GACGAACGCUGGCGGCGUGCUUAACACAUGCAAGUCGAACGAAGUGGCGAACGGGUGAGUAAUACGUGAGUAACCUGCCCUCCUUUUUGGGAUAAGCCUUGGAAACGGGGUCUAAUACAGAAUAAAGGGGGAUGGGCUCGCGGCCGUUCAGAUUGUUGGUGGGGUGAUGGCCUACCAAGGCGGUGACGGGUAGCCGGCCUGAGAGGGUGACCGGCCACAUUGGGACUGAGAUACGGCCCAGACUCCUACGGGAGGCAGCAGUGGGGGAUAUUGCACAAUGGGCGAAAGCCUGAUGCAGCCACGCCGCGUGGGGGAUGAAGGCUUUCGGGUUGUAAACCUCUUUCGCUAUCGAACCUUUACCUUUCGCCGAAGCUCCGGCUAACUACGUGCCAGCUGCCGCGGUCUUUC
Molecule: ribosomal RNA, 408 nt
Filed under: uncultured bacterium
Lineage: Bacteria
Description: partial 16S ribosomal RNA
Rfam family: Bacterial small subunit ribosomal RNA
Source: RNAcentral